RNAcentral lists this transfer RNA (71 nucleotides) under Marmota monax (woodchuck). RNAcentral's name for it is "tRNA.Ala". The record is from RNAcentral. Lineage: Eukaryota; Metazoa; Chordata; Mammalia; Rodentia; Sciuridae.
GGGGUUGUAGCUCAGAGGUAGAGUGCCCGUCUAGCCUAUGUGAGGCACUGGGUUCAAUCCUCAGCACCACA